GAUGAACGCUGGCGGCGUGCCUAAUACAUGCAAGUCGAGCGAACGGACGAGAAGCUUGCUUCUCUGAUGUUAGCGGCGGACGGGUGAGUGACACGUGGAUAACCUACCUAUAAGACUGGGAUAACUUCGGGAAACCGGAGCUAAUACCGGAUAAUAUUUUGAACCGCAUGGUUCAAAAGUGAAAGACGGUCUUGCUGUCACUUAUAGAUGGAUCCGCGCUGCAUUAGCUAGUUGGUAAGGUAACGGCUUACCAAGGCAACGGUGCAUAGCCGACCUGAGAGGGUGAUCGGCCACACUGGAACUGAGACACGGUCCAGACUCCUACGGGAGGCAGCAGUAGGGAAUCUUCCGCAAUGGGCGAAAGCCUGACGGAGCAACGCCGCGUGAGUGAUGAAGGUCUUCGGAUCGUAAAACUCUGUUAUUAGGGAAGAACAUAUGUGUAAGUAACUGUGCACAUCUUGACGGUACCUAAUCAGAAAGCCACGGCUAACUACGUG
This 497-nucleotide ribosomal RNA is filed under the name uncultured bacterium. Its description in RNAcentral is "partial 16S ribosomal RNA". It matches the Rfam family "Bacterial small subunit ribosomal RNA", at positions 28 to 507 of the family's 1533-position model. The record is from RNAcentral.